CCAUCAUGAUGAUAAUGGACUGAACCUCUGAAACUCCCCCUGGCUUAUCACCCACCUGCACCAAAGAAGAUGUAUCCUACAGACUUGGGUCUGUCUAACAUCCUUGGUCCAGAAGCGUCUCUACUGAGGCCUCAGGCUCUACAAUCCUGAUUUACCAACUCUCAUUGAAGGUUAAGUUCCUAAGGGAGCACAUGAAGGGGCCAAUCCUGCAGACCCAAAGCUGCA
Molecule: long non-coding RNA, 225 nt
Organism: Peromyscus leucopus (white-footed mouse)
Lineage: Eukaryota; Metazoa; Chordata; Mammalia; Rodentia; Cricetidae
Exons: 3
Source: RefSeq, a predicted model, not a curated record